RNAcentral lists this non-coding RNA (24 nucleotides) under Arabidopsis thaliana (thale cress). The record is from RNAcentral. Lineage: Eukaryota; Viridiplantae; Streptophyta; Magnoliopsida; Brassicales; Brassicaceae.
AUCCACCCAAACCCGUCCUACCAU